ACGGGAGGCAGCAGUGGGGGAUAUUGCACAAUGGGCGCAAGCCUGAUGCAGCGACGCCGCGUGAGUGAAGAAGUAUUUCGGUAUGUAAAGCUCUAUCAGCAGGGAAGAAAAUGACGGUACCUGACUAAGAAGCUCCGGCUAAAUACGUGCCAGCAGCCGCGGUAAUACGUAUGGAGCAAGCGUUAUCCGGAUUUACUGGGUGUAAAGGGUGCGUAGGUGGCAUGGUAAGUCAGAUGUGAAAUACCGGGGCUCAACCCCGGAGCUGCAUUUGAAACUGCCAGGCUGGAGUGCAGGAGAGGCAAGCGGAAUUCCUAGUGUAGCGGUGAAAUGCGUAGAUAUUAGGAGGAACACCAGUGGCGAAGGCGGCUUGCUGGACUGUUACUGACACUGAGGCACGAAAGCGUGGGGAGCAAACAGGAUUAGAUACCCUGGUA
Molecule: ribosomal RNA, 434 nt
Filed under: uncultured Lachnospiraceae bacterium
Lineage: Bacteria; Bacillati; Bacillota; Clostridia; Lachnospirales; Lachnospiraceae
Description: bacterial SSU rRNA
Rfam family: Bacterial small subunit ribosomal RNA
Source: RNAcentral